UUGACCUCGAAUCAGGUAGGAAUACCCGCUGAACUUAAGCAUAUCAAUAAGCGGAGGAAAAGAAACCAACAGGG
Molecule: ribosomal RNA, 74 nt
Filed under: Metarhizium album
Lineage: Eukaryota; Fungi; Ascomycota; Sordariomycetes; Hypocreales; Clavicipitaceae
Description: partial large subunit ribosomal RNA
Rfam family: Eukaryotic large subunit ribosomal RNA
Source: RNAcentral